CCUACGGGAGGCAGCAGUGAGGAAUAUUGGUCAAUGGACGAGAGUCUGAACCAGCCAAGUAGCGUGAAGGAUGACUGCCCUAUGAGUUGUAAACUUCUUUUAUAUGGGAAUAAAGUUUUCCACGUGUGGUAUUUUGUAUGUACCAUAUGAAUAAGGAUCGGCUAACUCCGUGCCAGCAGCCGCGGUAAUACGGAGGAUCCGAGCGUUAUCCGGAUUUAUUGGGUUUAAAGGGUGCGUAGGUGGAUUGUUAAGUCAGUUGUGAAAGUUAGGGGCUCAACCGGAAAAUGGCAGUUGAAACUGGCAGUAUUGAGUGCAGUAGAGGUAGGCGGAAUGCGUGGUGUAGCGGUGAAAUGCUUAGAUAUCACGCAGAACUCCGAUUGCGAAGGCAGCUUACCGGACUGCAACUGACACUGAGGCUCGAAAGUGUGGGUAUCAAACAGGAUUAGAUACCCGAGUAGUC
RNAcentral lists this ribosomal RNA (460 nucleotides) under uncultured bacterium. RNAcentral's name for it is "partial 16S ribosomal RNA". It matches the Rfam family "Bacterial small subunit ribosomal RNA", at positions 338 to 795 of the family's 1533-position model. The record is from RNAcentral.